RNAcentral lists this ribosomal RNA (497 nucleotides) under uncultured bacterium. Its description in RNAcentral is "partial 16S ribosomal RNA". It matches the Rfam family "Bacterial small subunit ribosomal RNA", at positions 28 to 507 of the family's 1533-position model. The record is from RNAcentral.
GUUGAACGCUGGCGGCGUGCCUAAUACAUGCAAGUCGAGCGAACGGACGAGAAGCUUGCUUCUCUGAUGUUAGCGGCGGACGGGUGAGUAACACGUGGAUAACCUACCUAUAAGACUGGGAUAACUUCGGGAAACCGGAGCUAAUACCGGAUAAUAUUUUGAACCGCAUGGUUCAAAAGUGAAAGACGGUCUUGCUGUCACUUAUAGAUGGAUCCGCGCUGCAUUAGCUAGUUGGUAAGGUAACGGCUUACCAAGGCAACGAUGCAUAGCCGACCUGAGAGGGUGAUCGGCCACACUGGAACUGAGACACGGUCCAGACUCCUACGGGAGGCAGCAGUAGGGAAUCUUCCGCAAAGGGCGAAAGCCUGACGGAGCAACGCCGCGUGAGUGAUGAAGGUCUUCGGAUCGUAAAACUCUGUUAUUAGGGAAGAACAUAUGUGUAAGUAACUGUGCACAUCUUGACGGUACCUAAUCAGAAAGCCACGGCUAACUACGUG